GCACUGCUGAGGAGUCCCACAAUAGGACAAAACAGCAGUCCAGUGC
RNAcentral lists this non-coding RNA (46 nucleotides) under Schistosoma mansoni. The record is from RNAcentral. Lineage: Eukaryota; Metazoa; Platyhelminthes; Trematoda; Strigeidida; Schistosomatidae.